RNAcentral lists this ribosomal RNA (402 nucleotides) under bacterium. RNAcentral's name for it is "partial 16S ribosomal RNA". It matches the Rfam family "Bacterial small subunit ribosomal RNA", at positions 355 to 776 of the family's 1533-position model. The record is from RNAcentral.
UGGGGAAUAUUGCACAAUGGGGGAAACCCUGAUGCAGCGACGCCGCGUGAACGAAGAAGGUAUUCGUAUCGUAAAGUUCUGUCCUAUGGGAAGAUAAUGACAGUACCAUAGAAGAAAGCUCCGGCUAAAUACGUGCCAGCAGCCGCGGUAAUACGUAUGGAGCGAGCGUUGUCCGGAAUUAUUGGGCGUAAAGGGUACGCAGGCGGUUUAAUAAGUCGAAUGUUAAAGAUCGGGGCUCAACCCCGCAAGCAUUGGAAACUGAUAAACUUGAGUAGUGGAGAGGAAAGUGGAAUUCCUAGUGUAGUGGUGAAAUACGUAGAUAUUAGGAGGAAUACCAGUAGCGAAGGCGACUUUCUGGACACAAACUGACGCUGAGGUACGAAAGCGUGGGGAGCAAACAGG